This 1542-nucleotide unclassified non-coding RNA is filed under the name Zea mays. RNAcentral describes it as "misc RNA Zm00001eb423460". Lineage: Eukaryota; Viridiplantae; Streptophyta; Magnoliopsida; Poales; Poaceae. The record is from RNAcentral.
GGCCAUUUUCCAGUCCAGUUCCUAUUCCUCCACAAUAUUCAGUUCCGCUGGAUCAACGGACGUGAACUCACCCUCCUGCGAGAACAAGCCGCUGGCCUCGACAACCUUCCUCUGCGGGAUGUGGCUGAUCUUGAGCCGGUCGUCAUCGGUCAGCUCCCAGUCGAAUAUCUCGAGGUUCUGCUUCAGCCUCUCCCUGUUGUAGCUCUUGACGAUGCACGUCACUCCCUGCUCAUGUAUCCAUCGCAGCGCCACCUGUGCCACGGUCUUCCCCCUCGCCCUGGCUAUCUCCGCGAGCACCUCCGAGUCGAGCACGGCGUUGCCCCGCCCGUCCCAGUUCUGCCCUCCCAGCGGCGAGUAGGCGGCGACGUGGACGCCCCGGUCGGCGCAGUACGCCCGCAGCGUCCGCUGCUGCCACGCCGGGUUCAGCUCCACCUGGUUCACCGCGGGCGGGACCGCGGCGAUGGCCAGGACCUUGUCCAGGUGCCUGGUGGUGAAGUUGCUGACGCCGAUCGCCCUGGCGAGGCCCAGCCGCUGGCACUCCUCCAUGGCGCGCCACACGCCCGCCACGUCCAGCGGCACCGCGUCCUCCUUCCUGUUCGGGAACUUGGGCGGCCCGCCGGCCGGCCUGAGGCACACCGGCCAGUGGAUCAGGGACGGCAGCACGAGGUCCGCGUGGGUCUGCGAACACCACAGCUUGGACGUGACGAAGAGCUCCUCCCGGGACCUCAGGAGGCCGCGCCGCAGCGCCUCGGCCACGGCGUCGCCGAGCGGCUUCUCGGUGCCGUACAGGAAGGCCGUGUCGAAGUGGCGGAACCCCACCUCGAUGGCCGCCAGCACGGCGUCCCUGACGGCCUCGUGCACCACGGGGAACGACGCCGUGCCCAUGCCCACCAUCGGCAUCGGCUUUCCGUUGCCCGACCGCAGGGUCACCUCCGGCACCGCCGCCGCCGUCGUCCCCGUGGAUGCCAUGCUGAUGCGGUCAAGUAUGGCGCGCUGCAGUUGGAGGUGCGUCUAGUCUAGGUGUGCGGUGCGGAACAGGGAGGGACAGGGGUGCGCGAGCCAGAGCCUUGAGCCCGUGCUGGUAUGUGGACAGGCGACGUGUGAGCUCUCGGUACUUCAUCGCGUUGGCAUUCAGCAGAUGGGACCCGACGGGGACUUUUACCAUCGGAGUAGUGUUUUGACGUCACCAGUUACGCUUCCACAGGUGAUAACAGUGUGCGUUUAAUUUGGAGCUCUUGCCGUGGCUUGCUUUGUCUGCGCAAAAGAAAACCAGCGUUUGGUGAAAGGGAGAACAUUUUGGAUCUUCCCGAGGUUUCCAGGGCUUGACAACCCCUCCACGAGGAUGAAAUCGGCCACACAAUUGCCGGACGACCGCAAGACAAAGCUUGGGCCUAGACGGCUUCGUAUGCCCUUUUUUUUCUUCUUCUUCUUCAAGUAACGAUGCUCGUAGAUCAUAAUGCCAACUACAGCAACGCCGUGCAUAAAGACAUGUAUAACACCGUUUUGUAACGUAGAUGUACUGUCUUCAAAAAGAAGUUUAAA